UGUAUUUGCUAGCAUUGCUCUCUUUACGAUGUCAGUUAAUAGCCUGAAGCUACCAUAUAAUAUUGUAGUUCAAGCUACCUAGACUUGUGAGGGUGACAAAUAAAAUCAUUUGUAUGACUUUAACUAACUUUUCGAUUAUGACAACAAUACCUUGCACUAUUUGUUUGUUUUAUUUAAUCCAUCCGAUGCAGAAUCAUUGAAACCUUUUUCUAACAUUGAUUGCUUUGUUUUAGCCAUCUUUCAACGAAGCUCUGCUGGAGAUGUUUCAAGUUGAUUAUGUGGGAACUGCUCCUUACCUAAGUUGCACACCUUCUGUUUUGCAUCACAGACUUUCGUCAAGUGACCAGUUCUUGGUACUCUCCUCUGAUGGGCUUUACCAAUAUUUCAGCAAUGAAGAGGUAGUAGCCCAUGUUACGUGGUUCAUGGAAAAUGUCCCCGAAGGUGACCCCGCACAAUACCUUAUUGCCGAGCUUCUCUUCCGCGCUGCUAAAAAGAAUGGUCAGUUACUCCACUUUCCUAGUCCUCAGAUAUUAUUUUCACAACUUAACACAUUACAUCUGAGUAAUUCUUUACACCUGCUCCUCUCAACUUGCUUUCCACUUAAUGUUCUUGAGCAAAUUCUUUGAAACCAAACAUCUUUUCGAAAUGAGUUCUAUUUUUAUCGAGGUGGCCCUACAAUGUUGCUGAAAGAGCCGUAUGUUUGAAUUGGAAUUUGUUACAGACAUACUCUUUCAUCCUUCUCUAUAAAAAGAAAGCUAUCAUGUGCCAAUAUCAGAGAUGUCAAAUGUUUCCAACUUUCCUCUUCAUAGUACACAACAUUAAUUAUGGUGCAUCCCCAGUGUCUGUUUUUACACUAUUAACCAAUUAUGUGUUGUUGUCAUUAUCAUUAAAAAUGUUUGGCUCUUAUAAUAGCUUCAUAGAAAUCACACUAGUAAAAAAAUUACACUGCUAUAUCAAAAUAGCCUUGAUUUUGUUUUUACAAACUAGUAAUCCUUCUAACUUCAAGUGUCAACAUAUGAAAACGUUACAUGUUUAGGAUGUUUUUGGGGUGCAAGAUUUCUAUUUGACAUGUUUGAUUCUUAGAUUAGUUGUGAAUAAUUAAAGCUCUUUAAACAAAUGAGGAUUCUUGUCAUAUAUUAUUAUGUAUCAUUCUCUUUGCUACCAACUAGAAACAACCACCUAAUUCUGAUAACUUGUUUUUUAAUGGAAGUUAAUUUAUUAAAAUUUGAGUGUUAUUUCUUGUUUCUUAUAUGACAUUUUUUUUUAUUGUGGCAGGAAUGGAUUUUCAUGAAUUGCUUGAUAUUCCUAAUGGGGAUCGACGUAAAUAUCAUGAUGAUGUAUCUGUUAUGGUGGUUUCUUUGGAAGGGAGAAUUUGGAAAUCAUCAGGAUAAUUCUCUUUUCUCUUUCUAUUUUUCUUUUAACUAAAUGCUUCUCUAUUUAAUAAUGUAACAAUUUUGGGCUAGGAGUAAAAUUGAUUUUAGAAAUCAAAAUUAGUCUUUGAAUCAUUUCGAAAUGAAACAUAUUUUUCUCUAGUCUCAAACCAAGUUUAUUGGAAAUUCAGUUAAUGGAAGGUUACUACAAGUUUUUGUAGUACUUUACUGGUUAAGUAAGAAACUAUGUCACAAAAGAAAGAGUAUAUCAACAUGAGGAAUUGAGAAUGUUGUUCCACUAUUUAUUAUUUUAUAUCACUUUAUAUACCAGGAGGAAUAAUUAAUCAUAAAAUAUUUAAUAAUUAUAAUUUUAACUUAAAUAAUUUUUUCCACAUAUAUUAACAUACUGCACUGAGUACAACUACACAGAAUGGCCCAUCCAUGUUUCGCUACAGGCAAAUGAUUUUUCAUUUAUAUUUUUUUACCAUUAUUAUGACUUCGGCUAAAGAGCUAUAGAGAAAAAAAAAGCUGAGAACAUCAAUUUAUGAAAUAAAUUUGUCAUAAUUUACAAAAAUAGAUUAUGACCUUCAAAUCAAUAUUUUUCGCUUAUUUUUAUUAAGCAAAAACUUAUGGAUAAGUUUUAUUUACUUAUUUAAAAAUAAAGAAUAUUCAAUAAAUACUUAAUUAAGCCCUUAACCCCAGCACAUUAUUAACAUGUAUAUGUACCGUAUAUUUUUAAGUAAAACAAAUCUAUUAAAUUUUAACUGACUUAUCUUUGUUCAAAGCUAAUUAUAAUGAGCUCAUGCUUUAAAAAUUAGAGUCAUAUUUUUCAGCUAGACUCAAGUUAUGCUUUGAGUCACCUUAGCUUAUCUUGAUGUUUUACUUUUUUUUAAAUGUAAAAUUUAUUUAUAAUCAUAUAUGGGUGUAUAAGAAUUUUGUAGGAUAAAGGUUUUAUAUAUCAUUACAACAUAAUUAUAUUAUAUUAUUUAUUAUAAAUUAUAUAUUAAAAAAUAUACGUUAAAUUUAGUUACUACCUGGUAAUGCUUAUAAUUUAAAUUUAUAAAUUAUAUCAGUUUAUCUAUUUAAGAGGGGGAAAAUAUAUGCAUAACCAUGUUUAAUUAUUAUUAACUUUGUAUAUUAUUAACUAUGUAAUAAAAUACCUUGCACUAUUUGUUUGUUUUAUUUAAUCCAUCCGAUGCAGAAUCAUUGAAACCUUUUUCUAACAUUGAUUGCUUUGUUUUAGCCAUCUUUCAACGAAGCUCUGCUGGAGAUGUUUCAAGUUGAUUAUGUGGGAACUGCUCCUUACCUAAGUUGCACACCUUCUGUUUUGCAUCACAGACUUUCGUCAAGUGACCAGUUCUUGGUACUCUCCUCUGAUGGGCUUUA
Molecule: long non-coding RNA, 2756 nt
Filed under: Lupinus angustifolius (narrow-leaved blue lupine)
Lineage: Eukaryota; Viridiplantae; Streptophyta; Magnoliopsida; Fabales; Fabaceae
Description: long non-coding RNA (LANG_LNC002880)
Source: RNAcentral